UACGUAGGGGGCAAGCGUUGUCCGGAUUUAUUGGGCGUAAAGAGCGUGUAGGCGGCCAGACAGGUCAGCUGUGAAAACUCGAGGCUCAACCUCGAGACGUCGGUUGAAACCGCUUGGCUAGAGUCCGGAAGAGGAGAGUGGAAUUCCCGGUGUAGCGGUGAAAUGCGCAGAUAUCGGGAAGAACACCCGUGGCGAAGGCGGCUCUCUGGGACGGUACGUGACGCUGAGACGCGAAAGCGUGGGAGCGAACGAGGAU
Molecule: ribosomal RNA, 256 nt
Filed under: uncultured bacterium
Lineage: Bacteria
Description: partial 16S ribosomal RNA
Rfam family: Bacterial small subunit ribosomal RNA
Source: RNAcentral